GACGAACGCUGGCGGCGUGCUUAGCACAUGCAAGUCGAACGGAAAGGCCCUGCUUUUGUGGGGUGCACGAGUGGCGAACGGGUGAGUAACACGUGAGUAACCUGCCCUUGACUUUGGGAUAACUUCAGGAAACUGGGGCUAAUACCGGAUAGGAGCUCCUGCUGCAUGGUGGGGGUUGGAAAGUUUCGGCGGUUGGGGAUGGACUCGCGGCUUAUCAGCUUGUUGGUGGGGUAGUGGCUUACCAAGGCUUUGACGGGUAGCCGGCCUGAGAGGGUGACCGGCCACAUUGGGACUGAGAUACGGCCCAGACUCCUACGGGAGGCAGCAGUGGGGAAUAUUGCACAAUGGGCGGAAGCCUGAUGCAGCAACGCCGCGUGCGGGAUGACGGCCUUCGGGUUGUAAACCGCUUUCGCCUGUGACGAAGCGUGAGUGACGGUAAUGGGUAAAGAAGCACCGGCUAACUACGUG
This 468-nucleotide ribosomal RNA is filed under the name uncultured bacterium. RNAcentral's name for it is "partial 16S ribosomal RNA". It matches the Rfam family "Bacterial small subunit ribosomal RNA", at positions 28 to 507 of the family's 1533-position model. The record is from RNAcentral.